CAUUAGAUAGCUGAAAGUCAGCCAUGGUCUCUUAAACCCUCCUAUAAUAGAUUAACGCCUAUUUCUAAUG
This 70-nucleotide transfer RNA is filed under the name Trigonopterus sp. 5 AH-2016. RNAcentral's name for it is "tRNA-Lys". The record is from RNAcentral. Lineage: Eukaryota; Metazoa; Arthropoda; Insecta; Coleoptera; Curculionidae.